This 72-nucleotide transfer RNA is filed under the name Ictidomys tridecemlineatus (thirteen-lined ground squirrel). Its description in RNAcentral is "Spermophilus tridecemlineatus (thirteen-lined ground squirrel) tRNA". It matches the Rfam family "tRNA". Rfam says of the family: Transfer RNA (tRNA) molecules are approximately 80 nucleotides in length. Their secondary structure includes four short double-helical elements and three loops (D, anti-codon, and T loops). Further hydrogen bonds mediate the characteristic L-shaped molecular structure. tRNAs have two regions of fundamental functional importance: the anti-codon, which is responsible for specific mRNA codon recognition, and the 3' end, to which the tRNAs corresponding amino acid is attached (by aminoacyl-tRNA synthetases). tRNAs cope with the degeneracy of the genetic code in two manners: having more than one tRNA (with a specific anti-codon) for a particular amino acid; and 'wobble' base-pairing, i.e. permitting non-standard base-pairing at the 3rd anti-codon position. The record is from Rfam by way of RNAcentral. Lineage: Eukaryota; Metazoa; Chordata; Mammalia; Rodentia; Sciuridae.
GGGGGUAUAGCUCAGAGGUAGAGCACUUGACUGGCAUGCAGGAGACCCUGGGUUCAAUCCCUAAUAUCACAA